Canis lupus familiaris (dog) is the source of this 2741-nucleotide long non-coding RNA. RefSeq lists it as uncharacterized. The transcript is spliced from 3 exons. The record is from RefSeq and is a predicted model, not a curated record. NCBI's taxonomy places the organism in Eukaryota, Metazoa, Chordata, Mammalia, Carnivora, Canidae.
UAAUAAUGUAAUUUCUUAAAAGCCCUACCCAAUGGGCAACAAAGAUCCCCAGAGCCUGGGUCCCGGCCCCAGCAGGGAGGGAUCACCCGCUCAUCUUUCAGCCCAGCCAAGCAUCUUGGAGGUUUAGGGUCUGUCAGUCCUGGCAUUCCUUCGCUCUUAUCACUCUCUACCCCUUCAAAAAGGCAAUUGAUUAGUUUCAGCUUUUCCAAACCGAGAUCCGAUACGUUUCUCAGGAUCAAAAGUCUCUGAGAGGCCAAGACAGAAACGUGGGGGAUGGGGAACGUAAAGAAGGAAAGCGCGCGAGGGGGGCGGUGUAGAAAUCUGCCAGCCACCCCAACCCUCUGCACCCAAGGCACUUAGGGGAUUGGGGGGCUGCUAGGAAGGGGUAAGAGUGUGACUUCUCCUGGAAGAGGCACUUAACGAUUUAAGACGUGUCUCCCCUUUCCGGAAGCAAAUAUUUAAAGGAGAAAAUAGAUAUCUAGAAAAGGAGGUUGAUGAUUUAUGCCUGGAUUUUCCUCCAAGCAUUUGCCUUCCUUGUAUUUACAGGCGUGGCCCCAUUUGCAAAUCGUACAUCUGUUCUCUUCACGUGACAUUUCAUAAAAGCCCUAACAUCUGGGCAAGAUAAACUUCCUUCAGGUACCUGCUUAGCUUUUCACUUGUCACACUCGCAUCAGCCCCGGUGGGUCCUUCCCGCCCUCCCGCAAGCCUCAGUGGCGGGGUCUGUGGCGCGCUUUGUUCCAGCCCCCGCGCUCUGGCCCCCAGCCUCCUGCGACCCCGCAUCGCCCCCCUCCCCACGCCAACCUCUGCCAGGGCCAGCUUCUUGGGCACACCCCGUCCUUACGUCUCCGCCUCGGGCUCCACUGUGCAGGUAAACGAGGGCACCAUCUUGAACCCAAGGAGAAAAGUCACAUUGCCUUCGGUUCAGGCUUCAGACCCAAAACAAAACAAAACAAAAACUGCCUAAUAAGCAAUAUUCAAACUUGCAAGCUUAGAGCGCACAGUCCCAUGUACAUCUAUAUAUUCCUCAGUGAACUGAAAAAAAAAAAAAGAGUGCUUGCUGUUGAUUCUGAUGGUUGUCUUUUCAUGGAACGUUCGCUCUAUCUGGUAGAUGUCUAAACUGCAUGUUUUACAGAAAUUUAAUUUCACUUGCUCGUCGUCAUCUCCAGUCCCCCAAAAAAGGCUGCCUUUGGGAUGGAUGUCUUUGGAAAUGUUUUUUUUUUUUCUUUUCCUAAUCUGGAAUUUUGUUCACGCGUAAGUACGAAGACACAUCCACAAACUUGGUGGUGGUGAUGGUGGGGGGUUGGGGGGGAGGAUGGAAGGAAAAGAAAACAGUCCACGUAAACAAGAAAGACAGCCGUUGGAGGCCUUCGCUGCAGCAAACCCCAAACGAUCUCAUUGCAGGGCGCCCACGAAAUCCCGGCUAUAAUUGAGUGUUUUCUUUGAGGUUUUCUGACCAUGUGCUUUUUUACCAUGGUUACUAUGACUCUGAUAUGAGAAGCUGGAUAUUCAUUAUGAUCCCGUCCCAUCCGUUCCCCCAAGGUUUAUCUCCCUGGCCCUUAUAAAGAAGGAGAAAUGUAAAGGGGGGGACUUUUGUGCCAGUGAUUUUAACCUGCCCCACCUUCCAGUGACCUGCCACAUGCUCCUUCUUACUUUAUAGACAUCUGGGAAUUCCAUACAUGCCUUAAACUCCAAUUACACACCUUCUUCAAAGGACACGUGCUUUGAUUUGCUAAGAACAUUAAGUGGGCUCACGUCCUGGGGCCUUGGGACAAAAGCAAAUGGCAAAUGUAUCCCGUGCCCUGUUUACCGGGUCUAUCGUUUGCUGUUCAGCAAAUGAGGAUAAUUAAUAAUCCUGUUUGCAUUUCCGAGGUCUCGGUUUCGAGGUUUCCUGGGAAAAGAGUGGUAUAGCCGGCUUUGAGAAAUUAUGAGGUAACGGAUUUCUCCUUCCACUUUGCCGGUGCACUUUCCUUCCACUUUCGCUGGUCCUGGGGGUGGGGCACGCUUUAUGACACACAGGCAGAAAAUUCUGGAAAAGUGGCCCCCGGGGAUCCCCCGCCCGACCCCCGUUUGUCGCUAAUAGAGGCCCGUCUCUGGAAAUUUGAGGUUGGGCCUUUGCCUGACUCUGUUGCUGCUGCUCCUUCUGCUACCGCUGACACUUGGAACCGCCGCCUCUGCGCAGCGGCCAGACGCGGCCCGGAGCGGUCCACGCAGUCGGAGAAGGGCACGGACACUGUCACUCUCCCCACCGUGUGGCACCGGCCCGCCACCCACGCAGGGGAGUCUGGGCCGGCGCCCCCCUCCCGGGCCCGCCGCAGAUGCAGGGAAAACCGCCUGACAUCAUGAGAGCGGGACAAACGCUCACUUUGAAGGAUUCCUGGGCAGGACUUCAAGUGAAAUCAUAUGCCUGAGAAGAACUUGAUACCGGUCUAGAGAAAAUAACCAGUUCUGAGUUUGCCAAACCGUGGAAUGUGCAAAAUGCUCGACUUUUUUGCAAGAGGCCAAGUGUCCCUUAAAAAGCUCUAUUAUGAAUAUGAGCCUGAAGACUGAAGCAGCAGAAAGCUUGUGCCGUUGUUGAGUGUGGGAAAAAAGUACACACAGUAUCUGCCUCCUCAAAAUAUAAGCAAGAGAAGUGAGUAACAAAUUUCCUAAGUUUUUGCUUGUUUGGGGGGCCUGAUAAGAGAUGAAGGAGAGAUGCUACAAAGUCCACUGAACACCAAACUGGAAUAAUAAUAAUAAAGCUG